RNAcentral lists this small nuclear RNA (22 nucleotides) under Arabidopsis thaliana (thale cress). RNAcentral describes it as "snRNA_08091". Lineage: Eukaryota; Viridiplantae; Streptophyta; Magnoliopsida; Brassicales; Brassicaceae. The record is from RNAcentral.
AUUCUAACUAGUAUAGGGCUGA